Molecule: non-coding RNA, 45 nt
Filed under: Schistosoma mattheei
Lineage: Eukaryota; Metazoa; Platyhelminthes; Trematoda; Strigeidida; Schistosomatidae
Source: RNAcentral
AUCCAGCUGACGAGUCCCAAAUAGGACGAAACACUCGUCGUGGAU